RNAcentral lists this ribosomal RNA (394 nucleotides) under uncultured bacterium. RNAcentral's name for it is "partial 16S ribosomal RNA". It matches the Rfam family "Bacterial small subunit ribosomal RNA", at positions 523 to 918 of the family's 1533-position model. The record is from RNAcentral.
AUACGUAGGGGGCAAGCGUUAUCCGGAUUUACUGGGUGUAAAGGGAGCGUAGACGGAAGGCCAAGUCUGAUGUGAAAGCCCGCGGCUCAACUGCGGGACUGCAUUGGAAACUGGUCAUCUGGAGUGCAGGAGGGGUAAGCGGAAUUCCUAGUGUAGCGGUGAAAUGCGUAGAUAUUAGGAGGAACACCGGUGGCGAAGGCGGCUUACUGGACUGUAACUGACGUUGAGGCUCGAAAGCGUGGGGAGCAAACAGGAUUAGAUACCCUGGUAGUCCACGCUGUAAACGAUGAAUACUAGGUGUCGGGGCCGUAGGCCUCGGUGCCGCAGUUAACGCAAUAAGUAUUCCACCUGGGGAGUACGGCCGCAAGGCUGAAACUUAAAGGAAUUGACGGGG